CGAACGCUGGCGGCAGGCUUAACACAUGCAAGUCGAGCGCCCCGCAAGGGGAGCGGCAGACGGGUGAGUAACGCGUGGGAACGUACCUUUUGCUACGGAAUAACUCAGGGAAACUUGUGCUAAUACCGUAUGUGCCCUUCGGGGGAAAGAUUUAUCGGCAAAGGAUCGGCCCGCGUUGGAUUAGCUAGUUGGUGAGGUAAAGGCUCACCAAGGCGACGAUCCAUAGCUGGUCUGAGAGGAUGAUCAGCCACACUGGGACUGAGACACGGCCCAGACUCCUACGGGAGGCAGCAGUGGGGAAUAUUGGACAAUGGGCGCAAGCCUGAUCCAGCCAUGCCGCGUGAGUGAUGAAGGCCCUAGGGUUGUAAAGCUCUUUACACCGGUGAAGAUAAUGACGGUAACCGGAGAAGAAGCCCCGGCUAACUUUC
RNAcentral lists this ribosomal RNA (428 nucleotides) under Brucella anthropi. Its description in RNAcentral is "bacterial SSU rRNA". It matches the Rfam family "Bacterial small subunit ribosomal RNA", at positions 30 to 505 of the family's 1533-position model. Lineage: Bacteria; Pseudomonadati; Pseudomonadota; Alphaproteobacteria; Hyphomicrobiales; Brucellaceae. The record is from RNAcentral.